UACGUAGGUGGCGAGCGUUGUCCGGAAUUACUGGGUGUAAAGGGCGUGUAGGCGGGGAAACAAGUCAGAUGUGAAAUUCUGGGGCUCAACCCCAGCGCUGCAUCUGAAACUGUAUCUCUUGAGUGCUGGAGAGGAAAGCGGAAUUCCUAGUGUAGCGGUGAAAUGCGUAGAUAUUAGGAGGAACACCAGUGGCGAAGGCGGCCUUCUGGACAGUAACUGACGCUGAGGCGCGAAAGCGUGGGGAGCAAACAGG
Molecule: ribosomal RNA, 253 nt
Filed under: uncultured Clostridiales Family III bacterium
Lineage: Bacteria; Bacillati; Bacillota; Clostridia; Eubacteriales; Eubacteriales Family III. Incertae Sedis
Description: partial 16S ribosomal RNA
Rfam family: Bacterial small subunit ribosomal RNA
Source: RNAcentral